This 867-nucleotide long non-coding RNA is filed under the name Carica papaya (papaya). RNAcentral's name for it is "long non-coding RNA (CPAP_LNC014194)". Lineage: Eukaryota; Viridiplantae; Streptophyta; Magnoliopsida; Brassicales; Caricaceae. The record is from RNAcentral.
UCAGAUUGAUAGAAUAAAAUUUGGAUUACAAUCCCAUUUUACUUGCAUUUUUCUUUCGAGAAUCGUACAUGAUUUUUUUUGCAUGACGUAUACUUUGACUUAUUGGUAAAGUGGUGAGCCCUAAUGUAUGCACGCACCAAUAUACCAUGUGGGAGACAUAUUCUCGGUAACGGCCCCGGAAAAUAUAAAAAAGAAAUGAGUAUUUAAAUAUAUCGAAUGCGGAAGCGAGAUCAAAAUUUCAGUUAACAUCCCUUACACGAAAAACCAAAAAAACGUACUUAAAAUAUAAAAGGUUAAACUAACUAAGAAAGAAAACUCGAAAAUAAACUAUGCGUAUGACUACAGAGUCUCUAGGCAUCCCCUUCGUCGUCCUCCUGCAGAACGGGCUCGGGAACCAUGUCUUCCUGAUCUGAAAUGGUUAAUUAAGGAGUGAGCUACACUAGCCCAGUAAGAACAUCACGAUAUCUCACCGUCACGGAGAUAAAGGUGGGUAGAAAAACACAAAAAAGACCAAUGGAGCAUAAUUUACAACAAACUCGUUUAUUAACAUGAAAACCUUUACCAUCCACUUACCUUGGUGGAAUUUAUGAAAACAAUAUGAGAAAAACAAUAACAUUAUCAUAAUCAUUGAAUAAUCUAAGCUGUAAAACAUAACACUUAUCACGCCUCUUGUAAUUCAAUCAUUGUACAACAUAUCUUUUUCUCAUUUACCAGCCUACUAGUAUCCGUGGGGGUCCAUAGGGGUUCCGCUACCCGUUAACCUUUAACAUUCAUAAUCAGUUUCCAGGACCGUCCCCAUACCCCGUCCGGUAUGGGCGCCAAAACCAUAAACCUCAAUACCCCGUCCGGUAUGAGGGUGAAACGGGC